Molecule: long non-coding RNA, 2095 nt
Organism: Pan troglodytes (chimpanzee)
Lineage: Eukaryota; Metazoa; Chordata; Mammalia; Primates; Hominidae
Source: Ensembl
UGAAACACAAGCUGCUGAGCUUUACUCCAGAAUUUCUGGUUCAGUAGGUCUGCAGUAGGACCUGAAAUUUUAUAUUUCUAACAAGUUUUCAGGAGCUGCUGAUGCCGCUAGUACAGGGCUCACAUUUUGAGAACCUCUGGUCUAGCAAGUUGCCACCAAGAAUGAAGAUUGGGCCAGAGAACAAGAAACAAGUCAACAUUUUGAUUUCAAACAUCAGAAAAGGUGUCCAGAAAUCUCAAGAAUUUGAGACAUCCUAAGGAACUUUAAGUGCUGUGAGCCACAAGUAACAUCAAGAAAAGACAGGGAUGAAGAACCGCACUUACAAGCUCAGUAAGAUUAAACCCAGCAUGGAGAUAUAUGAAUUAAUAUGAACUCUGAGAAAGAAAUUGGUCAGCUAAAAAAUAUAUGGCUUUCCUGAAUAGACAAAAGAACAAAGAUUUUCCCUUUGGAAAUGCAGUAGACAUUUGUCACCAGCAGCUCUUUGGAGACUUCAAUGUUCCUUCCUCCCAGGAUCUGAAAGGGGACUUCAGACACGUAAGAGUCAUAUUUUGCAAACCAGCAGAAUUUUUGUGCAAGGUUUAUCAGACAAGUGAGAGGCUGUGAAGGCAGACUUUGGGAAAUAGUUUUAACAGUUCAUAAAUCAGAUGUAAUUGAAAAGGAGAGGAUCUCCUUUUUGAGAGCCAUGAAAACCUUUCUUUUGUAAUCUCCUUACUGGGGCAGAAUUGUAAUGUGUACAAGGGCCGGGGGUCUAAUGAAGUCAGGUUGCCUUGGGUCACUCAAGGUAAUUUGUUUUUUCUGGCCAAAUCAUGAAACAGAACUGCAUUCUGCUCCCUGUUACAUUUAUAUGAUAGCAUCUCUUUUGAUAUUGUCAAGUGUGUUAUGCCAGGUUGCAUAGCAUUACCGAUAACAACAUUCUUUGGAAAAUUGUUUUUUUUUUUCACACACCAAAUAGCAGCAGCUGAAAUCAGUUGGAGUUCUUGGCUGGCCAGGAAGUAAAAAGUGCUUUUCAUAUAAAAUUCCUAAGAAACCCUAGAAACAUGAUGCAAAGCAUUUGUACCCCUUUUACUUUCAAACUAGUAGAAUUUAUGUGACUUUUGAAAAUUAUAUUUGUUACACUGAUAAAAAUGCAGUUGCAUAUGAAGAGUAGGAGACCCUAAAGGGACUUGCCUAAGAUUUUCAUUUGAAUUUAGUACAUUAUGAGUUGUCAUAGUAUAAGAGGCAGGUUUGGAGGAUUGAUAGUGUUCUUAACUUCAGGGAGAAUCUAAGACACCAGGAGCUCAGAAGAAUGGAGUCUCAAGACAUCAGGCAAAUACCGAAGAGAUCAGAGCCAAGUUCUAAAGGGCAGCCAUUUCCCAAAUGUCAACCAAGAGCGAAGCCAAGAGAAUUAUGAUUUCCUGGCUAUACAAUCACAGGAAAAGCCUGAUCAAAGCUGGAGUGCAAGUUAAAAAGUGUAAGGUACUCAAGUGCUAGGGUCUGUGUCCAAGCCCAAUCAAUUGAUCAUUAGUUGUUUUUAACUUCAACGUUUCUUUUGCAACAGCACCUCUUCCUUAAAGUAGCAAUCUUAGCAGACUGCCACCUUACAUGAUGCAUCUUAUUCUCCAAGGACAAUGAAGACUGAACUAUCGCACAUUACCUAAGAAAGAUGGGAAUUGACGUGCACAUCACAAUUGUAUACACAACAGAAAUUAUUGAAUCAUGAGAUAUACAUUCCGGUGUGUGACAGAUUGGCACAUGACAUAAUCUGGGUUCUUUAUAGACUCAGUUGUUUUGGGUCGAUCUAGAUUAUCAAGAGAAGAGCCUUCAUGCUUAGCUUUAUCUUGUACCAACCACCAGGGCCCUUGCUUCUGAGCAGGAAGCAGCUGGGGAAUAGGCUCUUCCUCUUAAUGACUUCCAACAUAGUUCUCUCAAACCUUACUCCUCCAGAAGGCCACCCUCACCUGGCUAUGGCUACUUCAGAAAAGACUUGGCCUCUGGUAUAAUAGAGCAGAAUCAUCACCUCACAUUCUAUUUCAAGCCAAAGUGAAUAUCUCAAAGGCUGGUUCUGUGAUUUAUUUGGCCCUUGGGAGCUCCUACUGAAAGUGCUGAAAUGUCGUAC